RNAcentral lists this ribosomal RNA (305 nucleotides) under uncultured bacterium. RNAcentral describes it as "bacterial SSU rRNA". It matches the Rfam family "Bacterial small subunit ribosomal RNA", at positions 333 to 652 of the family's 1533-position model. The record is from RNAcentral.
GGCAUCCUACGGGAGGCAGCAGUAGGGAAUCUUCCACAAUGGGCGCAAGCCUGACCCAGCAACGCCGCGUGAAGGAAGAAGGCCCUCGGGUUGUAAACUUCUUUUAUUCGGGACGAAACAAAUGACGGUACCGAAUGAAUAAGCCACGGCUAACUACGUGCCAGCAGCCGCGGUAAUACGUAGGUGGCAAGCGUUAUCCGGAUUUACUGGGUGUAAAGGGCGUGUAGGCGGGAGAGCAAGUCAGACGUGAAAUUCCAGGGCUCAACCCUGGAACUGCGUUUGAAACUGUUCUUCUUGAGUGAUGG